GUCUAUGGCUCUACCACCUGAAUUUGCCAAACCUUGUCUGAUUUCAGAAGUUAAACAGGGUCGGGGUUGGUUAGUUCUUGGAUUGGAGUCCAAUAUAAAAAUGAAAAACUAUAGGAC
Ribosomal RNA from Macaca nemestrina (pig-tailed macaque), 117 nucleotides. Lineage: Eukaryota; Metazoa; Chordata; Mammalia; Primates; Cercopithecidae. The record is from Ensembl.